Molecule: ribosomal RNA, 241 nt
Filed under: Nematostella vectensis (starlet sea anemone)
Lineage: Eukaryota; Metazoa; Cnidaria; Anthozoa; Actiniaria; Edwardsiidae
Description: Eukaryotic small subunit ribosomal RNA
Rfam family: Eukaryotic small subunit ribosomal RNA
Source: Rfam by way of RNAcentral
CUCGUAGUUGGAUUUCGGGACGGCACGGUCGGUCCGCCGCAAGGUGUGUCACUGGCCGGGCUGUUCUUCCUCGCAAAGACUGCGUGUGCUCUUAGCUGAGUGUGCGCAGGACUUGCGACGUUUACUUUGAAAAAAUUAGAGUGUUCAAAGCAGGCCAUCGCUUGAAUACAUAAGCAUGGAAUAAUGGAAUAGGACUUUGGUUCUAUUUUGUUGGUUUCUGGAACCGAAGUAAGAUUAAGAG